UCACGCCUGUAAUCUCAGCACUUUGGGAAGCUGAGGCGGGUGGAUCACCUGGAGUUGGGAGUUCGAGACUAGCCUGACCAACAUGGAGAAACCCCGUCUCUACUAAAAAUACAAUAUUAGCCAGGCGUGAUGGCACACACCUUAAUCUCAGCUACUUGGGAGGCUGAGGCAGGAGAAUAGCUUGAACCCGGGAGGUGGAGGGUGUGGUGAGCUGAGAUCACACCAUUGCACUCCAGCCUGGGCAACAAGAGUGAAACUCUGUCUCAAAAAACAAAACAAACAAAGAAAAACUAAAUGAAUAACCUUGACUGGAAAUCAGAGACCUGAGUCUGUUGACUGCAGGCUAAGGCCAAUCUUGACCUGUCAAAGGAGUUCAUGAAUAGCAUAGUCAUUUCUUCCUGGGGAGCUUCCCCUGGAGCUUUCCCAGCAUGCUCAGAGCAGCCAUUGAAGGAGGCUUUAUAUUGAGUGAAGCUACAGAGCCCUGGAAAGCUGGGAAUGCACAGGCAGACAUGAGACAACAGGAUCAUGGCCAUUCCACAGACAACUAUGCAAAAACACCUACAGACGGCACUGCUCCUAUAGUCAACCUGAGACCAGAAAACUCUCUGUCCCUUCAUCAGCAAGAAGUAGCCAGAAGGAACAUGCUACCCCUCAUCUUUGUUGUAACUAUGGUGUCUGGAUUGACAGAGUAGGAGCAUCGCCAUCUUGGACAAGCCCCUCAUUCUAAAGUUCACCUUGAUCAAAAACUGCCUAAGUCCAAAGGGCAUCAGCCUAAUGGCUAAGGUCAGCACAACCAUAAACCACAAAUAAUAUCUCCAAACAGAAACAUUCCAAACUCCUCAAUGACCAGAGACAUGCUAGCCCCAAGAUAACCUCCCUCCGGCCAGGAAGAUGCCAGCCUUGUGAUAACCCCUUUCCAGUCAGAAAGAUGUUAUCCCCAAGAUAACCUCCUCUCCACCCAGAGACAUUUCAAUCCCUCCAUAAAACUUCUCCCUCACACAGAAACAUUCCAAGCUUGUGAUAAGCACCCUCAGCCUAAAACCAAUAUAUACUCUUAGUCUGUAAGAGAAAGUGCUCCUGACCAAAAUUGGCCAGAAGCCCCUCAGGUGUAUUUUCUCAAAAAUAAAUCUGUCUUUAACUUUAA
This is a long non-coding RNA of Symphalangus syndactylus (siamang), 1144 nucleotides long. RefSeq lists it as uncharacterized. The record is from RefSeq and is a predicted model, not a curated record. Lineage: Eukaryota; Metazoa; Chordata; Mammalia; Primates; Hylobatidae.